GUGAGGAAUUUUCCGCAAUGGGCGAAAGCCUGACGGAGCAAUGCCGCGUGAAGUAUGAAGGCCUAUGGGUUGUAAACUUCUUUUCUUAGAGAAGAAUAUUGACGGUAUCUGAGGAAUAAGCAUCGGCUAACUCUUUGCCAUCAGCUGCGGUACGACAGAGGAUGCAAGCGUUAUCCGGAAUGAUUGGGCGUAAAGCGUCUGUAGGUGGCUUCAAAAGUCUCCUGUCAAAAAUCAGGGCUUAACCCUGGGCCGGCAGGAAAAACUCUGAGGAUAGAGUUUGGUAGGGGCAGAGUGAAGUACAGGUGGAACGGUGAAAUGCAUAGAGAUCGGGAAGAAAACCAAAGGCGAAAGCACUCUGCUGGACCACAACGGACACUGAGAGACGAAAGAGAGGGGAGCAAAAGGGAUUAGAAACCCGGGUAGUCC
Molecule: ribosomal RNA, 426 nt
Filed under: uncultured bacterium
Lineage: Bacteria
Description: partial 16S ribosomal RNA
Rfam family: Bacterial small subunit ribosomal RNA
Source: RNAcentral